GAAACGCGAUAGUUAAUGUGAAUUGCAGAAUUCAGUGAAUCAUCGAGUCUUUGAACGCACAUUGCGCCCAUAGGUAUUCCUUUGGGCAUGUCUGUUUGAGCGUCAUUACAACCCUCAGCUAACCGCUUGUUUUGAACCUGAACGGGUGACACCGCGCCGGUUUUAAAGUUGUAAGCUCUGCUGGCCGCUCUGCCCAACCAGAACAUAGUAAGCACUACUUGUCCGGGUGAAGCUGAACGGUACGGCCUGAACAAAACCUACCCACUCUCAAGGUUUGACCUCAGAUCAGACAAGGAUACCCGCUGAACUUAAGC
This 314-nucleotide unclassified non-coding RNA is filed under the name plant metagenome. RNAcentral's name for it is "partial contains 5.8S ribosomal RNA, internal transcribed spacer 2, and large subunit ribosomal RNA". The stretch from base 1 to 105 matches the Rfam family "5.8S ribosomal RNA", at positions 50 to 154 of the family's 154-position model. The record is from RNAcentral.